AGCGACUUGGUGGGCGCGUCCAGUGAUGACUUGGGGAUCCGGGCAACUAACAUGACUAAAAAGAAGCGGGAGAAUCUGGGCGUCGCUCUAGAGAUCGAUGGACUAGAGGAGAAGCUGUCCCAGUGUCGGAAAGACCUGGAGGCCGUGAACUCCAGGCUCCACAGCCAGGAGCUGAGCCCAGAGGCCAGGAGGUCCCUGGAGAAGGAGAAAAACAGCCUAAUGAGCAAAGCCUCCAACUACGAGAAGGAACUGAAGUUUCUUCAGCAAGAGAACCGGAAGAACAUGCUGCUCUCUGUGGCCAUCUUCAUCCUCCUGACCCUCGUCUAUGCCUACUGGACUAUGUGAGCCUGGCACUUUCCCACAACCAGCACAGGCUUCCACUUGGCCCCUUGAUCAGGACCAAGCAGGCACUUCAAGCCUCAAUAGGACCAAGAAGAACUUCUUCUUGAAGCUUUUGCUGAAUCCCAUAGUCCAGGGCUCUGACGGGAGGAAGAGGGGAUGAAGCCCAGAAGGGGACACAAAGCACUUGUGGAGGACAGGUGCGUGCCUUCCUCCACUCCUGGUGGCCUCCCCGCAAAAGCAAGCAGGGAACAGCCCGUGAGGCAGCAGCCUUCAU
RNA transcript from Mandrillus leucophaeus (drill), 616 nucleotides. It is a transcript of the gene named coiled-coil domain containing 167, with no coding region annotated. The record is from RefSeq and is a predicted model, not a curated record. The transcript has 5 exons. Lineage: Eukaryota; Metazoa; Chordata; Mammalia; Primates; Cercopithecidae.